GACGAACGCUGGCGGCGUGCUUAACACAUGCAAGUCGAACGCUGAAGCCCAGCUUGCUGGGUGGAUGAGUGGCGAACGGGUGAGUAACACGUGAGUAACCUGCCCCCUUCUUUGGGAUAACGCCCGGAAACGGGUGCUAAUACUGGAUAUUCACUGGCCUUCGCAUGGGGGUUGGUGGAAAGGUUUUUUCUGGUGGGGGAUGGGCUCGCGGCCUAUCAGCUUGUUGGUGGGGUGAUGGCCUACCAAGGCUUUGACGGGUAGCCGGCCUGAGAGGGUGACCGGUCACAUUGGGACUGAGAUACGGCCCAGACUCCUACGGGAGGCAGCAGUGGGGAAUAUUGCACAAUGGGCGAAAGCCUGAUGCAGCGACGCCGCGUGAGGGAUGACGGCCUUCGGGUUGUAAACCUCUUUCGCUCAUGGUCAAGCCGCAGCUUUGGGUUGUGGUGAGGGUAGUGGGUAAAGAAGCGCCGGCUAACUACGUGCCAGCAGCCGCGGUAAUACGUAGGGCGCGAGCGUUGUCCGGAAUUAUUGGGCGUAAAGGGCUUGUAGGCGGUUGGUCGCGUCUGCCGUGAAAUCCUCUGGCUUAACUGGGGGCGUGCGGUGGGUACGGGCUGACUUGAGUGCGGUAGGGGAGACUGGAACUCCUGGUGUAGCGGUGGAAUGCGCAGAUAUCAGGAAGAACACCGGUGGCGAAGGCGGGUCUCUGGGCCGUUACUGACGCUGGGGAGCGAAAGCGUGGGGAGCGAACAGG
RNAcentral lists this ribosomal RNA (751 nucleotides) under uncultured Actinomyces sp. Its description in RNAcentral is "bacterial SSU rRNA". It matches the Rfam family "Bacterial small subunit ribosomal RNA", at positions 28 to 776 of the family's 1533-position model. The record is from RNAcentral. Lineage: Bacteria; Bacillati; Actinomycetota; Actinomycetes; Actinomycetales; Actinomycetaceae.